AGGACGAACGCUGGCGGCGUGCUUAACACAUGCAAGUCGAGCGGAAAGGCCCUUCGGGGUACUCGAGCGGCGAACGGGUGAGUAACACGUGAGCAACCUGCCCUUAGCUCCGGGAUAGCUCCGGGAAACCGGAAUUAAUACCGGAUAUGACCUAGGCCGACAUCGGCUGUGGUGGAAAGUUUUUCGGCUGGGGAUGGACUCGCGGCCUAUCAGCUUGUUGGUGGGGUAAUGGCCUACCAAGGCGACGACGGGUAGCCGGCCUGAGAGGGCGACCGGCCACACUGGGACUGAGACACGGCCCAGACUCCUACGGGAGGCAGCAGUGGGGAAUCUUGCGCAAUGGGCGAAAGCCUGACGCAGCGACGCCGCGUGGGGGAUGAAGGCCUUCGGUUGUAAACCCUUUCAGCAGGACGAAGCGAAAGUGACGGUACCUGCAGAAGAAGCGCCGGCUAACUACGCGCCAGCAGCCGC
Molecule: ribosomal RNA, 471 nt
Filed under: uncultured bacterium
Lineage: Bacteria
Description: SSU rRNA
Rfam family: Bacterial small subunit ribosomal RNA
Source: RNAcentral